AACAGCUGGAGCGCGGCGCGCGCUGGCCGCUCUGCCGCGGGGCCGCGCCUCAGCCGCCCCCCUCCCCGCCCUCGUCCCGCCGGGCUUUAGGGGGGUGAGGGACCGCCCCGCGGCGGAGGCUGCGGCACAGAGCGGCCGUUGCGAGCUGUCGCGCCUCAGCGUGAGGAGAAGGAGGGAGGGAGCGGCGUUCAAACUCUUCUCCCCGCAGAGCCGCGGGGAAGGGGCGCUGGGGGCGGCCCCUGGCUGGGAGCCGCUCCUCAGCGGGGAGGGCCGUGCUGCAGUCCCGGCGGGACGCAGCCGCGUCACGGCAGCCCAGAUGUUCAGCGGAACAGCGCUGCCCGUCCACGUCCUUACAUCGGCACCACCGAAGUCUGCGGGUUGUUACGGCUGAGGAGCGCGCGAGCUCGUUGGCAGACUGUUGUGGCACAAAGUUCCACAGAGGUCUACAGAUUCCGCACAAGAUUCUGAAGCGGUUUUAUAAAGCACAGGCUUCCACUUGCCAACAUCCCUUCCGUAACUCCCCUCCCCCCCUCGCUGCAAUGUGCCCUCCAUUAAACUAUCCCAGUCCUACCCACCACGUACAUACAAGCCUCUUCCCCCUAACGCUUCCAGUUCACUAUGCUACCAGAGCACCUCUGCCUGCUGGCUGGACAAGAGCCAAUGCAAGACACAGCCUGAACAGAAGCUGCAAGGAUGCUGACCCAGACUGGCCAGCCUGUUUUUGCUUCUCAGAUGCUGGAUGUGUCAAACAGCGUUCGAGGAUGCACAUUGUAACAAUCUGUACAUGCUCACAGAUAAAAAGGCCCACCGAGUCACCUCACUGAAGAAGAAUGGCAAACAACUGUUGUGCACGAUGCUGUACACAGGCAGAAAUAAGGAAUUCCGGCUAUAAGCAAGUGGAUGCACUUGCUCUGUUAUCAGGAUCCCUAUAAGCUGACCCCACUCAAGCUCACAAAUUGAGCUUACAAAAUAAAUAAAAUAAAUAAAAAGGUAUCCUUGUACAUAUGGUGAUCCAGUAAGGAAAAAAAACUUCUACAUGCUGAUACUGGGAACUGAUAAAAUCUUCCCCAGCAAGACCAGGGAGAAACCUGUUUCCUUGCUGUAAAUACUACAGAUAUUUCAGAAUAUUUUACUUCUCUUUGAUUUCUGUGUUUGCCUUUGGGACAUAAAGACUUCAACUGACCUCAUUUCCCAGUCAAAGCUUUUCUCAUCUGCUGAAAGUUGACCCCAAAAUAGUCAUUAAAAAAAAAUCAAUUCUGUUCCCAGGACUGGCUGCAGUAAGAGUUACUCUCAUCAGAUACUCAGCAGACAAUCCUUCCCAAUUUGCAGCUGUGCUCUUCUCAGAUAGCCAUGGCACUCCUAUCCAUGCACCCAAAUUUUCAGUCAGAAUCUACCCCUCUCAGAAUUCUGACCCAGGAAAAAUCCACCCUGAUGCUGUGACGGUUGCCCCCCUCAUGUUCCAACCUUACGUGUUGCCUGCAACUCUCUUGAGGGUGUGUGGUGUUGGUUAAAAAAAAAAAAAAAACCUGUCAUGACUCUUAUUUGUUUAUUAUGAAAAACCAAAGGUCCUUCAGACACUACGAAGUGCUUUGCUCAUAAAUAUAACUAUAUGCAACCUGAAAAGAAAGCAUCCCACUCCAAAUGUGUGUCUGGGUCACAGUAGCAGUCUGGCAAGCUUUAGGACUGUAUGCGUACCUGAGGCUACACCUCCAAGCUCACUGUAGGGACAGCACAAAGGCUGGUUUUCAGAAUGGCCUGGCUUUGCCAUGGAAAUGUCCAGGGAGGCUGUGGCAAAACUAAAUGCAGUAAAGGCAGCCUUUUCUUUAAAACAGUACAGCACCACAAACUUCAGUGCCUCAUCAUAAAAGAAACAAUCAAGAUGCCCACGAAAUCAAUUACCAACAGUCAGACUAGAUCAACACUGGAAACAAAACACUGCUCAAAAAGUACCAAAAGUUAGAAAAAAAGGAAAAAAAAAAAAAAAACCAAAACGCUGGCAGCUUCUUACCCUCUUUACCAUGGAAUAAUCUAGCUUCCUCACAUAGGAAUCUACAAGUCGUCGUUACUUCUGGUUCUCUGUGCUGCCCAGCUACUCUUCAGGUUUCCUACCAGCCCUUUUUUUUUGCUGAAGCUCUUUAGGAGUGCUUCUGUGUAUCAGUGUGUUAGUUUAUCUUGUGUUGUCUCUAUUUUCUUGACACAAAGCUAAAAGCUCUUUGCUUCCUCAGUUAACAAACAUCUGUCUCCAAAUCUACAUGCUGUGUAGUCCAACAAUGUAAAUGAAAUCAAUGCUUCAAAACUGCAUGAAUAUGUAUUUUUAAAGAUGUUAAAUGCAUUAGAAGAAGCAGCCAAGGAAUGUGCAUUGCUUUUUCAAUAUCUCCAUUGUUGAAAUGAAACCUCAACACCACCAUAUCACAUGUAUCUGUGUGUUACAGAUAACAUGUGCGUGCAACAUGAGGUUUGCAGCUGCUGGCAUUCUGAUCAAAAAAUCCAGGCAAAGUGAAAUGUUGCUUUUUAAGACAUGAAUGAGUCUGUUAAUGACGAUAUCUCUUCCAGCUUCUGUUCAUCCAGGCCAUAUGGGUUUAUAUUAUCAGCUCUUCAGAGGAUUCCUGAGUCUAAAUUAGACUACAAAGAAGGUCAUUUUCUGUGACUCAUUUGUGCCAAGCAAGAAAAUCAUUUCCUCUCUUGAUCUCCAUGAUAGCUUUCUCUCGGGAGGAAAGAGAAUAUAAGAAGCUUUCUAAUCUCCUUUUGCAUUAUGCAAGAAACUAACAAAAUAUGAGCCCACUGUCCUCCGGGUGCCACAAAGUUGCUACCUAUAUCAUUGUGGUAUUACUGCUUCUUAACAUUUUUGUAGGUUCUUCUUAUCAUGAGCACCAGAAAGCAAAAGGCUCAUAGCAAUCUGCUUGUAAUGUGCAUGAGCAAACUUUCAUUCUAAACAAGAUGAAAUGAAAAAAAAAAAAAAAGGGAAUGGGAGCUUAAAAUAAACAAACGAGCAAACAAAACC
Molecule: long non-coding RNA, 3001 nt
Organism: Numida meleagris (helmeted guineafowl)
Lineage: Eukaryota; Metazoa; Chordata; Aves; Galliformes; Numididae
Exons: 3
Source: RefSeq, a predicted model, not a curated record